UCAUUCAAUUUCACCAUUAACAACCUUACAAAGUUUCAAGGUGAUAUGUGCAAAAGAAAUCCUAGAGAGGUUGAAGAUCACAUUUUCAGUUUAGCGACUCAUCAUGUCGAUAAAGAUUUCAUUCUUGCACCGCAUUUGGCUGAGUAAGUUUUUUUUAGUUAACUUGCUUUUAUUUUAUUGCUAUGAUUCACCUAACUAUUCUAUAACGCUAAUUUUGUAGCAACCAUUGGUCUUUGUUCAUCAUUGCCCAACACAUAGGACAUGUUUAUAUUUUGGAUUCAACAAAGAUAAAAGGCGAAAAGAAUGCUUCUAACUAUCGUCUUUCAAGCCUAAUUCCUACCGCCUUAGGAUCCGAGUUCAACUACACAAUGGUUGAUUGUAAGCAACAAAAGGGUAGAUGGGAAUGCGGCUACAUGGUUCUCCAACAUAUGUUUGACUUUGUCAAUUUGUAUCAAAACCAAUUUCCCGAUGAAAUGUGGCACGACACGAGAGUGGCUACGGAUAACGAAAUAGAUGUUUUGUUGAUGACGUUGAUGCCGAAGUUUUUUAGCGAGUUAGGUAUUCUGUUAGUUUAGCUUAUGUGUAGUUUGUUAUGUAUUCACAAAUGAUUGUAAUUUGACGGGUUUAUUUCCGAAUUGGAUGUGGGGUUUAUUUUGGAUUUGAAUGUGUAUUGUUUUGGUUUGAUUUGAAAAUGUUGCAUUGGUGUAUAUGAGGUUGAUGUAUUUUUUUUUCCAGCAAAUGUAUUUUUGGUGUAUUUCUUUUU
This is a long non-coding RNA of Helianthus annuus (common sunflower), 763 nucleotides long. RefSeq lists it as uncharacterized. Lineage: Eukaryota; Viridiplantae; Streptophyta; Magnoliopsida; Asterales; Asteraceae. The record is from RefSeq and is a predicted model, not a curated record. The transcript has 4 exons.